UACGGGGGGAGCAAGCUUUGUUCGGAAUCACUGGGCGUAAAGGGAGUCUAGGCGGUUUGGUAAGUGGGAUGUGAAAUGCCCGGGCUCACCCCGGGACCUGCAUCCCAAACUGCUGAGCUUGAGUACAGGAGAGGGUGGGGGAAUUCCAGGUGUAGCGGUGAAAUGCGUAGAUAUCUGGAGGAACACCGGUGGCGAAGGCGCCCACCUGGCCUGCUACUGACGCUGAAGCUCGAAAGCUAGGGGAGCAAACGGG
RNAcentral lists this ribosomal RNA (253 nucleotides) under uncultured bacterium. RNAcentral describes it as "partial 16S ribosomal RNA". It matches the Rfam family "Bacterial small subunit ribosomal RNA", at positions 524 to 776 of the family's 1533-position model. The record is from RNAcentral.